UCAGGCCUAACACAUGCAAGUCGAGCGGGGUUUUCGGACCUAGCGGCGGACGGGUGAGUAAUGCGUAGGAAGCUACCCGAUAGAGGGGGAUACCAGUUGGAAACGACUGUUAAUACCGCAUAAUGUCUACGGACCAAAGUGUGGGACCUUCGGGCCACAUGCUAUCGGAUGCGCCUACGUGGGAUUAGCUAGUUGGUGAGGUAAUGGCUCACCAAGGCGACGAUCUCUAGCUGGUUUGAGAGGAUGAUCAGCCACACUGGAACUGAGACACGGUCCAGACUCCUACGGGAGGCAGCAGUGGGGAAUAUUGGACAAUGGGCGCAAGCCUGAUCCAAAAGUGCCGCGUGUGUGAAGAAGGCCUUCGGGUUGU
RNAcentral lists this ribosomal RNA (370 nucleotides) under uncultured bacterium. RNAcentral describes it as "bacterial SSU rRNA". It matches the Rfam family "Bacterial small subunit ribosomal RNA", at positions 42 to 426 of the family's 1533-position model. The record is from RNAcentral.